CUGAGUCGCGCAGAAGACACCGAAUCACCCUGCUGCAGACAGGCAGCCACCUGAUUCCACACUACAAAGACACAGAGGACACCAGACCACCAGACCAAGAUCACCAUCCUGAUCUACCUGAAGCCAGAUGACCAUGCAAAGACUGAAGCUCCUAAAACACGAGCCAAAAGAAAGACUUCUUCCUUUAAAUUGUAGAUGAUGAAUAUUUUGUCCCAGGAACAAGAAAGUGAAUGAGAUACCCAGUGACUUCUCAGGGUGAAGCAGCUUGUGAAAAGCUCAUAUACGUUUAAGCCACAGUGGACCUAGUCGUAAAAGAGGAUUUUAAAGUCUGGCAAACAAAACUGUUCGAUACUUGCAAACAUUUUGGAGAAAAACUUUCCUGGGCUUAAAGCUGAGAAGUCAUUUGAGUAAGUCUAGUGUGCAAAUUAAUGUGCUGGAGUUUAGUGAAGGAAGGUACGCGGAUGUCUCGAAGAUUAGCACUUAGGAUUAGAAGUGAUAAGGAAGGGUGCCAAAGUACAAAGAAAACUGAUUGAAUUUAAUAGUCUCCAAAAGACAGUGUUCCAAAUCUUGCUUAAAAAUUGCCGGACAGCUUUUUUGGGG
RNAcentral lists this long non-coding RNA (600 nucleotides) under Heterocephalus glaber (naked mole-rat). RNAcentral describes it as "lncRNA (ENSHGLG00000039860.1)". Lineage: Eukaryota; Metazoa; Chordata; Mammalia; Rodentia; Bathyergidae. The record is from RNAcentral.